GACGAACGCUGGCGGCGUGCUUAACACAUGCAAGUCGAACGGAAAGGCCCUGCGUUUGUGGCGUGCUCGAUUGGCGAACGGGGGAGUAACACGUGAGUAACCUGCCCUUGUCUUUGGGAUAACUUCAGGAAACUGGGGCUAAUAUCGGAUAGGAGCUCCUGCUGCAUGGUGGGGGUUGGUAAGUUUCGGCUGUUGUGGAUGGACUGGCGGCUUAUGAGCUGGUUUGUGGGGUAGUGGCAUACCAAGGCUUUGACGGGUAGCCGGCCUGGGAGGGUGACCGGCGACCUUGGGCCUGAGAUACGGCCCAGACUCGUAUGGGCGGCAGAAGUGGGGAAUAUUGCACAGUGGGCGGAAGCCUGAUGCAGCAACGCCGCGUGCGGGAUGACGGCCUUCGGGUUGUAAACCGCUGUCGCCUGUGACGAAGCGUGCGUGACGGUACUGGGUAAAGAAGCCCCGGCUAACUACGUG
Molecule: ribosomal RNA, 468 nt
Filed under: uncultured bacterium
Lineage: Bacteria
Description: partial 16S ribosomal RNA
Rfam family: Bacterial small subunit ribosomal RNA
Source: RNAcentral